Molecule: long non-coding RNA, 641 nt
Filed under: Pogona vitticeps (central bearded dragon)
Lineage: Eukaryota; Metazoa; Chordata; Lepidosauria; Squamata; Agamidae
Description: lncRNA (ENSPVIG00000008039.1)
Source: RNAcentral
AUGUCUGGAAGAAAUGGAAAGGAAGACUGUUAUGUCAAGGGUGAAAAGAUGAGCAGAAAAGGACAUGUGGGACAACUGCACUCAAACGAUGCCACAUGGAACCUCCCCAACAUAAAGUAUGACAAGUUACAGGUGUGCCAAGGAAAUUGCCCCCCCCAUGGAAUGGAAGCGCUUUGGACGGGUGCAGAGGUGAGUAUUUCUCGGUGCCUUGUGCAUCCAUUGCCAAGAGGAACAAAGAUCCGAAUGCUGCAGGUCGGGAUGAUCAAAACACCACGGCAGAUGAUUCAUGGCAAGGUAAAAGAAAUGGACUGACAUUUCUAGAAUCCGGUUGCGUGAAUGAUGAUAAAGUGCCCCAGCCAAACCAUAGGUGAGCAUAGAUUCUACCUUUUAUUUCCUCUUUUUUUGUAGCCAAUUUACAGGUUGCAAUAAUAACAGAGCCAUACCCUUCUCAGUAAGGAAGUGCGGAAGCCCUGCCCCAUUCCUCUGGCUGGCUCCUGCUGGCGAGUGGCGUGGAGCAAGGAGAACAGGUGGAGGGAAGGAGCAGUAGGCAAAGAACCGGCUGGGCGAAGCAGCCACGGAGCGGAGCAACAGGAAAGCGGGCCGUGCGAAUGAUGACAGGAAGGCUGAGAAGGACAAUGUCU